CCUACGGGAGGCAGCAGUGGGGAAUCUUGCGCAAUGGGCGAAAGCCUGACGCAGCGACGCCGCGUGGGGGAUGAAGGCCUUCGGGUUGUAAACCCCUUUCAGCACCGACGAAUGAAGGACGGUAGGUGCAGAAGAAGCGCCGGCUAACUCCGUGCCAGCAGCCGCGGUAAU
This 171-nucleotide ribosomal RNA is filed under the name uncultured Thermomonospora sp. RNAcentral describes it as "partial 16S ribosomal RNA". It matches the Rfam family "Bacterial small subunit ribosomal RNA", at positions 338 to 524 of the family's 1533-position model. Lineage: Bacteria; Bacillati; Actinomycetota; Actinomycetes; Streptosporangiales; Thermomonosporaceae. The record is from RNAcentral.